GAAUAAAAAAAUGUUAAGAUUUUUUUAAUUAUAGAAUAUUAAAUUAAAUGUAUUAUAUGAGUUAAUCCUCUAAUAUUAAUUUAUUAAAAUAAUUUAAUAUUAAGUAUAUCUAUAUAUUAAAAUUAUAUUUAAAUUUAAUUAAAUUAAGAAUUAACUAUGUUAAAAUUAGUAUAUAUUUUUUGUUUUAUUAAGGAACUCGGCUAAUUAUUAUUCACCUGUUUAUCAAAAACAUAGUCUUAUGUAUUUAUAUAAGGUGAAACCUGCCCACUGAUGUUAAAUUUAAUGGCCGCAGUACCUUGACUGUGCUAAGGUAGCAUAAUAAAUUGACUUUUAAUUGGGGCCUUGAAUGAACGGAUAAAUGGAUAAUUUCUGUCUCAAUAAAAAUUUUAUAAGUUACUUAAAAGGUGAAAAUUCCUUUAAAUAAAUUAAAUAGACGAGAAGACCCUAGGAGUUUUUAAUUUUGUUGGGGCGACAGUAUAGCAUUAUAACCUAUAUAUAAAUAUUUAUAUAAAACGAAUAAUUUUAAUAAUAAAUAAACUACCCUAGGGAUAACAGCAUAAUUUAAUUUUAAGUUUGUGACCUCGAUGUUGGACUAGGGACUUUUAAAGCUAACAGUGUUAAUUGACAGUUCUGUUCGA
Molecule: ribosomal RNA, 638 nt
Filed under: Stanisicarion freycineti
Lineage: Eukaryota; Metazoa; Mollusca; Gastropoda; Stylommatophora; Helicarionidae
Description: partial 16S large subunit ribosomal RNA
Rfam family: Archaeal large subunit ribosomal RNA (bases 183-383)
Source: RNAcentral